RNAcentral lists this long non-coding RNA (2193 nucleotides) under Homo sapiens (human). RNAcentral's name for it is "PREDICTED lncRNA (TCONS_00191765)". Lineage: Eukaryota; Metazoa; Chordata; Mammalia; Primates; Hominidae. The record is from RNAcentral.
GAAGCCAGGCCAAGAAGAAUCCCAGGACUGGAAGGCCUUGUGGGACGUCCCAGGUUUGUCUUGUGUCAAUAGCACUGAUACUCAAUCUCCUACUCCCAUCUGUGAGCAUGCAGACCCUACUUGCCUUCCCACAGCCUCCCUUUUCAUAUUUUUCAUGUUUCUUUAGCUCUGUCUUCAAGCCUUGUUGCUCCCGCAAAAAAACCUGCCUCUUCCUCCAGUCCUCCCAAGCAGGGGGAACAGUCCUGACACCUUUCCAAGCCCUGGUCCAUGGACAUUGUGCCCCCUUCUCCCUGCCCAUGGUGACCUGCUCCAAAACCCUCAAGGAGAAGGGAGUGUAUGUCAUUUCCUCCCUGUAAAGUAAAGAUAAUUUUGCAGGGGACUGUGUGGAUGAAAUGACAUGAUGCAUGGAAAUCCCUUAGCGUGUGCCUGGCAUGUAAACUGCAGGUGUCAUCAUUAUUACUGAGGAAUACUGAGUCCCGAACAUGGCUGUCUCAUUGGUGGACUGGGGUCUCCCCCAGGGCAUUCAUCUACUAUGUGUUUAUUGCACCCUUUUUCCAUGUGAGGCACAUGCCAGGGACUGGGCACAUGGUAUGAACAAGACACAGGUCAUCGGUGUCCUCUUGAGCUCCCUGGCUUGGCAGCAGAUGCAUACCUGGGAAGGAUGCUAGGUCAUCCGGGAACUCUACCUCCUUCAAAUCCCUAAGGACUGUGCUCCCAAUCCGCUUACGCUCAAGGAAGAACUGGAAGGCCCAGAACCAGCCUGCUGUCAGGAUCAGAACAAAAGAGGAGGACUGCAUAUGUAUGGACCCACUCCAGAUGGCACGGGGACGGGGGGAGUAGGAAAAGUGGCAUGGUCCCUUCCCGUGGAUAUAAUUCUUCCCAGGCCUGUUGUGUGAGUUGGUGAUGCCAUCAUUCCUGCCUCACACUUGCAAACUUCCCUCUUUGGAAUUUCAGAGACCAGGCCCACAGAGUAUGGCUGUGCAAGUUGUUCACUCUACAAGGGCACCUGGCCGGGGUCUUACCUUGAAUGGAGGAGAAGAGCUUGAAGAUGAGGGGACAGGCCAAGACAACUACCUGGCCCCGAGGGGUGGCUGGCCAGCAGAUGAGGAAAUGGAGGCACAGACUGAUUAGAAAACCAGCUCAAGGUCAUGUUGCUGCUCUCUCAUUCCUGUUGAGGGCUCUCUGGUGGAGCCUCUGUCUCACAGGUCACCUGCAGGCCAACACUCCCAGAAGCAGCUAGCACCAUGGUUGACCUCGUCCAGGUCCAGGGAAGGCCUCCCUCUCCAGGACUCCUUUAGAUUUCCCCAGCAUCCAGACCUCACCUGCCUAAGUGCUGUUGCCCUGGAAGCCACAGUGAGCACGAGCUCCAUCUUGCACCUUUACCAGCCAAUGGGGGUAAAGACAUUAGCUGGGAAGCCUGAGACCACAGCUACUGCCUCGAAUCAGAAGCCCCAGCCUCAUCAUCUGGGGCCAGAGAACUAGGGCAGGAGGAGCCAAGUAGCACAGCAGGAAGCAUGAGUCCCUCCGAGGAGAAGCUGGUCUCUGAGAGGAGCACAGAAUGCAGCAGGCUGGAUAAGCCCCCUGCUGAAAUCAUGGGGUAAAAAAGAGACACAGGGGGAAUGGAGGAGCCAGAGAGAAAGCAGUGUGAUCACAGGCACACAGGACAGCAGCUCACCUUCCCAUCCUUGCUGGCUUUUGCACCCAACAGCCCAAAGCCUCCCCGCUGCAAAUUCUUUUUUUUUUUUUUUUUUGCCAGCCUCACUUCCUCUUGGGGAAGGCUGAGCUCUGGUAGAAGAAGAGAAUGAGAACUGCUGUAAAUACUUCUAAGGGGCCAGGCGUGGUGACUCAUGCUUGUAAUUCCAAGCACUUUGGGAGGCUGAGGCAGGUGGAUCACCUGAAGCCAGGAGUUCAAGAGCAGCCUGGCCAACAUGGCGAAACCCUGUCUCUACUAAAAAUACAAAAUUUAGCCAGGCAUGGUGGCGGGAGCCUGUAAUCUCAGCUCCUAGGGAGGCUGAGCCAGAAGAAUCGCUUAAACCUGGAAGCUGGAGGUUGCAGUGAGCCAAGAUCACACCACCACACUCCAGCCUGGGUGACAGAGCAAGACUCCAUCUCAAAAAGAAAAAAAAGAAAAAAAGGAAAUACUUCUAAGUUAUGUGAGAGAGUACAUACUGACAUUUUCAAUGGGUACAAUAA